This 880-nucleotide ribosomal RNA is filed under the name Hebeloma cf. crustuliniforme 3 UE-2011. Its description in RNAcentral is "LSU rRNA". It matches the Rfam family "Eukaryotic large subunit ribosomal RNA", at positions 70 to 935 of the family's 3401-position model. Lineage: Eukaryota; Fungi; Basidiomycota; Agaricomycetes; Agaricales; Hymenogastraceae. The record is from RNAcentral.
AAGGAUUCCCCUAGUAACUGCGAGUGAAGCGGGAAAAGCUCAAAUUUAAAAUCUGGCGGUCUCUGGCCGUCCGAGUUGUAAUCUAGAGAAGUGUUAUCCGCGCUGGACCGUGUACAAGUCUCCUGGAAUGGAGCGUCAUAGAGGGUGAGAAUCCCGUCUUUGACACGGACUGCCAGGGCUUUGUGAUGCGCUCUCAAAGAGUCGAGUUGUUUGGGAAUGCAGCUCAAAAUGGGUGGUAAAUUCCAUCUAAAGCUAAAUAUUGGCGAGAGACCGAUAGCGAACAAGUACCGUGAGGGAAAGAUGAAAAGAACUUUGGAAAGAGAGUUAAACAGUACGUGAAAUUGCUGAAAGGGAAACGCUUGAAGUCAGUCGCGUUGGCCGGGAAUCAACCUUGCUUUUGCUGGGCGUACUUUCCGGUUGACGGGUCAGCAUCAAUUUUGACCGUUGGAUAAAGUCCAGGGGAAUGUGGCAUCUUCGGAUGUGUUAUAGCCCUUGGUCGCAUACAACGGUUGGGAUUGAGGAACUCAGCACGCCGCAAGGCCGGGUACUUGUACCACGUUCGUGCUUAGGAUGCUGGCAUAAUGGCUUUAAUCGACCCGUCUUGAAACACGGACCAAGGAGUCUAACAUGCCUGCGAGUGUUUGGGUGGAAAACUCGGACGCGUAAUGAAAGUGAAAGUUGAGAUCCCUGUCGUGGGGAGCAUCGACGCCCGGACCAGACCUUUUGUGACGGAUCCGCGGUAGAGCAUGUAUGUUGGGACCCGAAAGAUGGUGAACUAUGCCUGAAUAGGGUGAAGCCAGAGGAAACUCUGGUGGAGGCUCGUAGCGAUUCUGACGUGCAAAUCGAUCGUCAAAUUUGGGUAUAGGGGCGAAAGACUAAU